RNAcentral lists this ribosomal RNA (2592 nucleotides) under Triticum aestivum (bread wheat). RNAcentral's name for it is "partial small subunit ribosomal RNA". The record is from RNAcentral. Lineage: Eukaryota; Viridiplantae; Streptophyta; Magnoliopsida; Poales; Poaceae.
AUGAGGGUGGCGGUGGUUGGUGGCGGGGUGAGUGGGCUGGCGGCGGCGCACGAGCUUGCCGCCAGCGGCGGAGACGCCGUGCGGGUGACCCUGUACGAGGAGGAGGCCUGCCUCGGCGGGCACGCCAGGACGGUGGCCGUCGACGACGGCGCCGGCUGCGUCAAGCUCGACCUCGGCUUCAUGGUCUUCAAUCAGGUAACAUAUCCCCACAUGAUGGAAUGGUUAGAAGGGCUCGGGGUUGACAUGGAGAGAUCGGACAUGUCUUUCUCAGUGAGCACACAAUCGAAAGGAGGCGUCGGAGGAUGUGAGUGGGGAAAUGGCAAUGGUAUCUCAAGCCUCUUGGCGCAGAAAAGCAACAUACUGAAACCCAGUUUUUGGCGCAUGGUCCUUGAGAUACUCAAGUUCAAGAAUGAUGCUCUGACGUACCUGGAGGACCAUGAACACAACCCUGAUCUGAACCGUAAUGAGACAUUGGGGCAGUUCAUUCAGUCGCAUGGAUAUUCCCUAUCGUUUCAAGAAUCUUAUCUUAUUCCAGUCUGCACUGGCAUGUGGUCAUGUUCAUCACAGGAUGUUUUGAGCUUGUCUGCUUUCUUGGCGCUGUCAUUUUGCCGUAACCAUGGCCUUCUUCAGCUGUUCCAUCACUCCCAGUUGCCCACUGUCAAGCCUCGUUCGCAGUCCUAUGUAAACAAGGUAAAAGGAGAAUUGGAGAGCAUUGGCUGUCGAAUUAAAACCAGUUGUCAGGUCAAAUCUGUUUCAAGCCUUGGUGGAGCUGGCUACAGAGUCUUGGAGAAGGAUGGUUCAGAGGAAACAUACGACAGUGUCAUCCUUGGGGUCCAUGCACCCAAUGCUCUCAAAGUACUAGGACUUGAAGCUACAAAUCGCGAACGGAGAAUUCUAGGUGCUUGUCAGUAUGUCCAUAGGGAUAUAUACCUUCACUCCGAUCAAAAUCUGAUGCCCCGAAAUUCGUCAGCAUGGAGCGCCUGGAAUUUCCUGGGGACAAGUAGCAGGGUUUUUUCUGUUACUUACUGGCUAAACCAAAUUCAGAAAAUUGAAUCUGUCAGGCCUUUCCUGGUGACACUCAACCCCCCUUGUGUUCCGGAUCAUGUACUGCUUAAAUGGAAUACAAGCCUUCCUGUUCCGUCUGUGGCCGCGGCGAAGGCUUAUCUUCAGCUUGAUCAGAUCCAGGGAAAGAGGGGAAUAUGGUUCUGUGGGGUAUAUAACGGUCAUGGCUUCCACGAAGACGGAUUGAAGUCCGGGAAAGCAGCAGCUCAAGGUUUGCUUGGAAAGAAAUGUGAUGUUCUGCUGAACCCAAAGAAGAUGUCUCCAUCAUGGACUGAGGCUGGGGCGCGCCUUCUAGUUAUAAGAUUUUUCAACCAAUACGUAUCCAUUGGUAACUUGAUAUUGGUCGAAGAAGGAGGUAGUGUGUUCAGCUUUGGUAAAGCUUGCGACAAAUGCUGUGUAAAAUCUGUCAUCCAAGUUCAUGACCCCUUGUUCUAUUGGAAGGUUGCAAUAGAAGGAGGCAUGGGCUUGGCAGAAGCCUAUAUUGAUGGUUGUUACUCUGUUCUUGACAAGAGAGAAGGCCUUCUGAAUCUUAUCCUGAUUCUCAUUGCUAACAGAGACGAGCGUAGGAACCGCCGCAUUGCUAGAAAAGGGUUUUGGUUGUCACCCUUCCAUGUAAUAGCUCAAUUGGCAUAUGCUAAACACUUUUUGCGCGAGACCUCAAGGAAGAACACUGCGACACAAACUCGUCGAAACAUCUCUCAGCACUAUGAUCUUAGUAAUGACUUUUUCUCGCUUUUUCUGGAUAAAUCAAUGACUUACUCUUGUGCAGUUUUCAAGGAUAAUGAAAGCUUAGAAGUAGCCCAGCAACGUAAACUUAGCCUUCUAAUCAACAAGGCUAAAGUCAAGAGGGGGCAUCAUGUUCUUGAUAUCGGUAGCGGCUGGGGAAGUUUAGCAAUCGAAACAGUUAAGCAAACUGGCUGCAAAUACACUGGAGUCACUUUGUCGGCGGAGCAGCAUAAAUACGCUGAGAGAAAAGUAAGAGAAGCUGGCUUAGAGGACCGCAUAAAUUUUCUGCUGUGCGACUACCGCAAAAUACCACCUUUUAAGUAUGACGCAAUCAUAAGCUGCGGUAUGAUUGAACAUGUUGGCCAUGAAUACAUGGACGAAUUUUUUGCUUGCUGUGAGUCUUACUUGGCUGAAGAUGGGAUAUUGGUCCUCCAGUUCAUCUCAGUUCCAGAGGAACGGUAUGAGCAAUACAGAAAAAGGCCAGACUUCAUAAAAGAAUACAUAUUCCCUGGCGGUUGCCUUCCUUCUUUGGCCCGUAUAAUGUCUGCCAUGACCACGUCAUCAAGGUUCUGCAUAGAGCAUGUCGAGAAUAUUGGACCCAAUUACUACACAACUCUGAUGCAUUGGAGGGACAACUUCAUGGCCAACAAAGAUGAAGUUUUGGCCCUGGGCUUUGAUGAAAGGUUCCUCCGUAUAUGGGAGUACUACCUCAUAUUCUCUGCGGCUGGUUUCAAGUCACGAGCAUUUGGAGAUUACCAGGUUGUUUUCUCUCGUCCAGGCAACCGUCGGCUAGGCCAGCCUUGA